Long non-coding RNA from Sphaerodactylus townsendi, 589 nucleotides. RefSeq lists it as uncharacterized. Lineage: Eukaryota; Metazoa; Chordata; Lepidosauria; Squamata; Sphaerodactylidae. The transcript has 3 exons. The record is from RefSeq and is a predicted model, not a curated record.
GCAACACCCAGGAGGGACUGAUGCAAUAAGAGACGGAAGAACAACAAUUAUAAACUAGCUGGGCAAAGGCGAAAGCAGAGAGGCCGCCUGCAGCAGAGAAAGGGAGAAAGGAAGACUAUCUGUGGCCUAAGAAAACAUGGUCUGAGUGAUUAUCAGUGCCUGCAGUUAUGUGUGUGCACGUAUUGCACGUGUGUGCUGCUGUAAAGGAGAAGAGGAAGAGUCUGAUUCACCCCAAGCAAAGAAUCAAGGUAUAAAGGCACCAAUUCGUCAAGCACCACCCAGCGGGGAAGGGACCAGUCCCUUUCCAGCCCCAGAACAGCCCUGUGGAACAUGACGAUAGAGUAAUAACAGUGAAGGGAUCUCUCUGGAAUGGGUUCCUGCACUGCCACCCUUUGGAAAACCAGGACAUCACUAAAUUUGCAAGCACUUCCGCUCACCUCAUCACAGAGCAUUAUGAAGACAGGUUCACAAACUCCCAUCAGUGUGGAGAGGAACUUGUCCAAAUUUCCCCUGCCUGUGAUCACCUAACUUUUUUUUUUAAUGCUGGAUUAAAAUGAAAAGCAAGUAUUAAAGCAACCAUUAAAAUACA